UUGGAGGGCAAGUCUGGUGCCAGCAGCCGCGGUAAUUCCAGCUCCAAUAGCGUAUAUUAAAGUUGUUGCAGUUAAAAAGCUCGUAGUUGAAUUUCGGGGUCAGUAGGUUGGUCAUGCCACUGGUAUGUACUGGUCUCACUGAUUCCUCCUUCCUGAUGAGCCGUAAUGCCAUUAAUUUGGUGUUGCGAGGAAUCUGGACUGUUACUUUGAAAAAAUUAGAGUGUUUAAAGCAGGCUAACGCUUGAAUACAUUAGCAUGGAAUAAUGAAAUAGGACGUUCGAUCUUAUUUUGUUGGUUUCUAAGAUUGACGUAAUGAUUAAUAGGGAUAGUUGGGGGCAUUAGUAUUCAAUUGUCAGAGGUGAAAUUCUUGGAUUUAUUGAAGACUAACUACUGCGAAAGCAUUUGCCAAGGAUGUUUUCAUUAAUCAAGAACGAAAGUCAGGGGAUCGAAGACGAUCAGAUACCGUCGUAGUCUUAACCAUAAACUAUGCCGACUAGGGAUCGGAUGAUGUUAAUUUUUUAAUGACUCAUUCGGCGCCUUACGGGAAAC
RNAcentral lists this ribosomal RNA (549 nucleotides) under uncultured Glomus. RNAcentral's name for it is "SSU rRNA". It matches the Rfam family "Eukaryotic small subunit ribosomal RNA", at positions 548 to 1098 of the family's 1831-position model. The record is from RNAcentral. Lineage: Eukaryota; Fungi; Glomeromycota; Glomeromycetes; Glomerales; Glomeraceae.